UGAAGGCAGAUGGAUGCCUAUCUGAGAGAGAGACGGGACAGAGUUGUCUCAACCCUGGGAGAGACGGGACAGAGUUGUCUCAACCCUGGGAGAGAGGGGACAGAGAUGUCUCAACCCUGGGAGAGAGGGGACAGAGAUGUCUCAACCCUGGGAGAGAGGGGACAGAGAUGUCUCAACCCUGGGAGAGAGGGGACAGAGAUGUCUCAACCCUGGGAGAGAGGGGACAGAGAUGUCUCAACCCUGGGAGAGAGGGGACAGAGAUGUCUCAACCCUGGGAGAGAGGGGACAGAGAUGUCUCAACCCUGGGAGAGAGGGGACAGACAGUGUACUUAUUGGAUCCUGGGUGAAGAGAUUUGGGCUUUAGUGAUUUUAACACCCUGGACCCGGAGCAAGCCCUCACUUGUAACACUGGUCCAAUAGGGCACAGAUACUGUUAGAGGAGGGAGGGUUGUCUCUGUUUGCUGCCGUGGCGGUUUUAAUGCUAUUAGACAGCCUUAACUCUGGUCCUAUAGGUGCUGUUACAUCACACUAGCACCGAACAGGAGACCAAACAGACAGGGGAAAACAACGGACUAUUGGCAGUUAAAGACAAAAUGGACACCAACUAACUGCAAAUGGUAGAUUCCAUAUUUUGUCACGCUCAGAAGGUCAAAAGGUUAUUUGGCCAAGCUGUUUCAUACAGUGCUGUGCUGCUUGUAUAUUGAUGUGCUUUUGUCAUUCAUUCAUUAUUAUUGGUAUUGUCUGGUCUAGUCUCACUAGCUGCUAUGUUACCAAGUCAUCUCACCCACGAUGAGCUAAUUAUCUGAUAGGAAAUGAUACACACACACACACACACACACACAUUUCAUUAUUGACUCAGAAGGGGGAGUAGCGAUCUCUUAAAGUGCUUACUUACGCAUGUCUGUCAUUCAUUAAGUCACUGUCUGUCAUUCAUUAAGUCACUGUCUGUCAUUCAUUAACUCACUGUCUGUCAUUCAUUAAGUCACUGUCUGUCAUUCAUUAAGUCACUGUCUGUCAUUCAUUAAGUCACUGUCUGUCAUUCAUUAAGUCACUGUCUGCCAUUCAUUAAGUCACUGUCUGUCAUUCAUUAACUCACUGUCUGUCAUUCAUUAAGUCACUGUCUGUCAUUCAUUAACUCACUGUCUGUCAUUAAGUCACUGUCUGUCAUUCAUUAAGUCACUGUCUGUCAUUCAUUAAGUCACUGUCUGCCAUUCAUUAAGUCACUGUCUGUCAUUCAUUAACUGUAGACAUGUAUUUGUUCUAACAGGAAACAUGACAAACAACCUCCAUUAGCUUUCUAUGGAUUUACUGUCAGUGACAUCAUAUGCAUCCUAAAUGAUUCCCUAUAUAGUGCAUUACUUUUGACCAGGGCACAAAGGUGGGGACCAGGGCC
This is a long non-coding RNA of Oncorhynchus tshawytscha (Chinook salmon), 1393 nucleotides long. NCBI's taxonomy places the organism in Eukaryota, Metazoa, Chordata, Actinopteri, Salmoniformes, Salmonidae. The record is from Ensembl.